CCUACGGGCGGCAGCAGUGAGGAAUAUUGGUCAAUGGGCGAGAGCCUGAACCAGCCAAGUCGCGUGAGGGAGUACUGCCCUAUGGGUUGUAAACCUCUUUUGUCGGGGAGCAAAAGCCGGACGUGUCCGGCUGUGAGAGUACCCGAAGAAAAAGCAUCGGCUAACUCCGUGCCAGCAGCCGCGGUAAUACGGAGGAUGCGAGUGUUAUCCGGAUUUAUUGGGUUUAAAGGGUGCGCAGGCGGAUUUUUAAGUCAGCGGUAAAAUCGUGGGGCUCAACCCCAUCCAGCCGUUGAAACUGGGGAUCUAGAGUGUGCGAGAGGUAUGCGGAAUGCGUGGUGUAGCGGUGAAAUGCAUAGAUAUCACGCAGAACCCCGAUUGCGAAGGCAGCAUACCGGUGCACAACUGACGCUCAGGCACGAAAGCGUGGGUAUCGAACAGGAUUAGAUACCCCUGUAGUC
RNAcentral lists this ribosomal RNA (458 nucleotides) under uncultured bacterium. Its description in RNAcentral is "partial 16S ribosomal RNA". It matches the Rfam family "Bacterial small subunit ribosomal RNA", at positions 338 to 795 of the family's 1533-position model. The record is from RNAcentral.